GCUAAAGUACUUGCACAGCAGUGAGAGACGCGUGAUUUCACUGGAACUGUAUUUCACAAGGAAAAUGGAUCCAUCAGGUGACCUAGAUGAGGAUGAUGACCUUCUUGAUGCUGCAAUCCAACUGAGCAUUGAAGAGUCAUGUAAAGAAAUCGCCUCUCUCGGAAGUGUGGAACAUCAAAAGAUCUUGGAUGCAAUAUUUCGAGGUGAA
RNAcentral lists this long non-coding RNA (208 nucleotides) under Sinocyclocheilus grahami. RNAcentral's name for it is "lncRNA (ENSSGRG00000020016.1)". The record is from RNAcentral. Lineage: Eukaryota; Metazoa; Chordata; Actinopteri; Cypriniformes; Cyprinidae.